Oncorhynchus tshawytscha (Chinook salmon) is the source of this 1270-nucleotide long non-coding RNA. NCBI's taxonomy places the organism in Eukaryota, Metazoa, Chordata, Actinopteri, Salmoniformes, Salmonidae. The record is from Ensembl.
AAAUGUAUAUCUAUCUAUCACUACAGCAUGUCUUAUUAACCUGCCUUCUGCCUGCCUUACGACUGUUUGCUCGGAGUUGGAGGGGAUCCCGAAGGAGAAGCGUCUUGUCAUUUGCUUGUCAAGGCCUCUAUCUGUGACAGCGCUUUGUGGAUGACUGGAUCUCAGUGCAGAGAGAGAGUCUGUCUAGUGAAGACACUACUGCACUAGCUCUGACAAACCUCUCAUUGCUACAUGUGUAUGGGAAAGUCAAUUUUUACAUUGCACAAAUUAGACUUAAUUCAAUUAACAGGCUGGUGAGCCUAGGCAGUUGUAGUAGUGGUAGUCUAUUAGAAAUAUUAAUUGUGAGGGGGUGACUUUUUUUGUCCGAUUUUUAUAAUGGUCACUACCAUGAAAUAAUCACCGUAUUGUUUACUUAUUUUAACAAUUAAUCAAAAAUCGAUUACUAUACCUGAUGCCUUCAUUGCUUUUUGACAAAUGUCAGUUGAGCGUAGUGUUCAUUAUUUAAGAUUCUGAGAAUGUUUAGUUUAUUACUUUAACCCCACUGUAGAUUCAGUCAUGUAAGGUGAAGUAUGAGGCUAGCUUGUGUACGUUUUCUUUCUGUAUUGAUGUUUCACUCCUAGACUAUUUAAAGGACGUAUUUCCUCUCUGAGGAGGCAGAGCACAACUGGUAAAGACAUGGUAAUGCAUCGGCAGCCACAACUGUUUGCCAUCAUUUACGAUGUUGCUUCCCUUGUGGUUUGCCAGAAAACAGGGUCCGUUUGAACAAUCGGUGCGGUGCCCUUUUGACUGUAUGUCUGAGGGGAUGUGGACACCUGCUCAACAAUUAAACUACAGAGGAGAGCAGACAUUGCCAAGAUAAAUAUUUGCCCUCCAAUUCAAAGUUGUGUUCACGUGUUUGAUUUGAGACGUGGAGGAUAUUACGUGUUUGUUCCUGACAGUCAGUUGACAGUGAUGUAAGCUCCGGUUCCCCACACUGAACACCUCUGUUCACUCGAACAGAGUACUCAGAACAUAACAGCACUGCUCAGUGACUGUGGAAUAUUUGGUUGCAUGUGAGGUUACUCAUAAGGCUAAACAUUUGCUAUUCAGGCUACCUCAUUUAAAUGAUGCUGUAGAUUUUAUUUGUAUUUUGCACUGUGACAGAGUUCCAAUGUUUAGUGUGGCUUAUUUGGAUGAAAUGUUCUUACUAGCUCAAGCAGAGUUACAAUGAGUUGUUUGUCUGUAUUCAGUCUCUAUCCAUAAAUCUGUAAAUAAACAAUGUUGUAAUUUC